Paramuricea clavata is the source of this 468-nucleotide non-coding RNA. The record is from the annotation of a GenBank genome assembly. NCBI's taxonomy places the organism in Eukaryota, Metazoa, Cnidaria, Anthozoa, Malacalcyonacea, Plexauridae.
CUCAUUUUUUGUAAAUUAACCAAAUUUUUUGUAAAUUAACUUUCCCUUGUCCUUUUUUGUUUGUGGGAAAAAGCGGGAGGAUUUUUCAAAAUGCGGGAGGAAAAGUCAAUGCGGGAAAUUUGCGGGGAAAGUGAUCAAAUGCGGGAGCCUCGUGCAGGAUGCGGGAGGGUUGGCAACUAUGUUAACGUAUUAAAUUAAAUAAGUUGUUGAAGCAAAUGCAAUUAUAAUGAUUAUAAAGCCGGGAAAAUUAUUAGAAUUUGUUACUGUUUUGAACACUGCAUAUGAUCUCUCUCUUUUAAAAUUUUAAGGUUGACAGGUCUACCUCAACCCUCCUGAUCUAUUAACGUGCAAAAUAUAAUAAAAUUAAAAAAUAAAUAAAUACCCACACAGAGCCUGGGCCACCUGUGCAUUCAGCAGCAAACAUUCUCAUGCAACCACAGAGAAGAGAUGUACAGAGAGGAAACACGC